Octopus sinensis (East Asian common octopus) is the source of this 172-nucleotide long non-coding RNA. RefSeq lists it as uncharacterized. The transcript is spliced from 3 exons. Lineage: Eukaryota; Metazoa; Mollusca; Cephalopoda; Octopoda; Octopodidae. The record is from RefSeq and is a predicted model, not a curated record.
ACCAUUUCACUGUGAUAUCUGUGGUAAAUCAUUCUCUCAAAAUUGUCAUUUAACAUCUCACAAACGUAUUCAUACAGGAGAGAGGCCUUUUUGCUGUGAUUUCUGUGGUAAAUCAUUCUCUCAGAAACGUUACUUAACUGCACACAAACGUAUUCACACAGGAGAGAAUCCG